UCCUCCGUUUCCCCGCGCUACCCCAAACCCUUUGCUCCCUGGAGCCUCCUCCUAAAGUGCGCUCAGUUCCUGGACGUGGCGUUAGCCUGCUGGAGCCCGGAUAAGUGGCGGCAGCCCCCACUCUUCUCCCGAAGGCGGCUCCCGGGCCACCAAGGCCGAAACGUAGUUGGAGAGCCAGGGGGAGCCUGAGACUCCGGGACUUACACUGCCAGAACGGGGCCAGCCGGGGACCGCAGAAGCCCAGCAUUUCCAGCCUAAGAGAAAGAAGCACUUGAGUGAUCCCGAGGAGCAAACUUGGAGCUGCCUCGGGCCUCGGAGAGGAGGAGGAGGCCAGGAUCCACACUGGACUCAUCUGCUGCUCUGGGGCCCCGUACUGGGCCUGGCCACAGGAGCAGGAGAGUAUAUUUCUUCCAGGGAGCCUUCAAAGAAUGUUUUAAGAACAUUUCCAAAGCCAUUCCCAAUGACUUCUAAAAACCAUCUCUUUUGAACUGUGGUGAUGUAACCAAAUGAGGAUGUUUAUGUGGUGUCUGCUUAACUACUUGAUUCUCCUGUAUAAAAGACAAUUCUUAAAGCGUGUCUCUGCUUACCCAACGUUGAGGCUGGAUGUGGUAAUGUGGUAAAGUAUCUGGUAACCUGUCUCUGAAUAUGUCUUUAUUCUAGUUGAGUCUGGUGUAAAGGCCAGUAUUCCAAAGUUGCAUAUGGUUAUUUAGUAUUUCAAAAUGUGUCAUAAAUAAAAAUUAAUUUUCUG
Nycticebus coucang (slow loris) is the source of this 748-nucleotide long non-coding RNA. RefSeq lists it as uncharacterized. NCBI's taxonomy places the organism in Eukaryota, Metazoa, Chordata, Mammalia, Primates, Lorisidae. The record is from RefSeq and is a predicted model, not a curated record. The transcript has 3 exons.